CUGGCUCAGGAUUAACGCUGGCGGCGUGCCUAAUACAUGCAAGUCGAAUGGUAGCAAUACCAUGGCGAACGGGUGAGUAACACGUAGGUAACCUGUCUUUAAGCCGAGGAUAACCAUUGGAAACGAUGGAUAAUACUGGAUAGGAUAUUUUAAGGCAUCUUUUAAUAUUUAAAGAUUUAUCACUUAGAGAGGGGCCUGCGGCGCAUUAGCUAGUUGGUGAGGUGAAGGCUUACCAAGGCGAUGAUGCGUAGCCGGACUGAGAGGUUGAACGGCCACAAUGGAACUGAGAACGGUCCAUACUCCUACGGGAGGCAGCAGUAGGGAAUUUUCGGCAAUGGGCGGAAGCCUGACCGAGCAACGCCGCGUGAACGAAGAAGUAUUUCGGUAUGUAAAGUUCUUUUAUUAGGGACGAAAAGACAGAUUGACGGUACCUAAUGAAUAAGCUCCGGCUAACUACGUGCCAGCCGCUGC
This 471-nucleotide ribosomal RNA is filed under the name uncultured bacterium. Its description in RNAcentral is "bacterial SSU rRNA". It matches the Rfam family "Bacterial small subunit ribosomal RNA", at positions 19 to 518 of the family's 1533-position model. The record is from RNAcentral.